GACCUGCGGAGGGANCAUUACACAAAUAUGAAGGCGGGCUGGAACCUCUCGGGGUUACAGCCUUGCUGAAUUAUUCACCCUUGUCUUUUGCGUACUUCUUGUUUCCUUGGUGGGUUCGCCCACCACUAGGACAAACAUAAACCUUUUGUAAUUGCAAUCAGCGUCAGUAACAAAUUAAUAAUUACAACUUUCAACAACGGAUCUCUUGGUUCUGGCAUCGAUGAAGAACGCAGCGAAAUGCGAUAAGUAGUGUGAAUUGCAGAAUUCAGUGAAUCAUCGAAUCUUUGAACGCACAUUGCGCCCUUUGGUAUUCCAAAGGGCAUGCCUGUUCGAGCGUCAUUUGUACCCUCAAGCUUUGCUUGGUGUUGGGCGUCUUGUCUCUAGCUUUGCUGGAGACUCGCCUUAAAGUAAUUGGCAGCCGGCCUACUGGUUUCGGAGCGCAGCACAAGUCGCACUCUCUAUCAGCAAAGGUCUAGCAUCCAUUAAGCCUUUUUUUCAACUUUUGACCUCGGAUCAGGUAGGGAUACCCGCUGAACUUAAGCAUA
Molecule: ribosomal RNA, 545 nt
Filed under: fungal sp.
Lineage: Eukaryota; Fungi
Description: eukaryotic LSU rRNA
Rfam family: 5.8S ribosomal RNA (bases 186-339)
Source: RNAcentral